RNAcentral lists this ribosomal RNA (465 nucleotides) under uncultured bacterium. RNAcentral's name for it is "partial 16S ribosomal RNA". It matches the Rfam family "Bacterial small subunit ribosomal RNA", at positions 28 to 507 of the family's 1533-position model. The record is from RNAcentral.
GACGAACGCUGGCGGCGUGCUUAACACAUGCAAGUCGAACGGAAAGGCCCUGCUUGCAGGGUCCUCGAGUGGCGAACGGGUGAGUAACACGUGGGUGAUCUGCCCUGCACUUCGGGAUAAGCCUGGGAAACUGGGUCUAAUACCGGAUAGGAGCCAUUUUUAGUGUGAUGGUUGGAAAGUUUUUUCGGUGUAGGAUGAGCUCGCGGCCUAUCAGCUUGUUGGUGGGGUAAUGGCCUACCAAGGCGGCGACGGGUAGCCGGCCUGAGAGGGUGGACGGCCACAUUGGGACUGAGAUACGGCCCAGACUCCUACGGGAGGCAGCAGUGGGGAAUAUUGCACAAGGGGCGCAAGCCUGAUGCAGCGACGCCGCGUGGGGGAUGACGGCCUUCGGGUUGGAAACUCCUUUCGCUAGGGACGAAGCUUUUUGUGACGGUACCUAGAUAAGAAGCACCGGCUAACUACGUG